RNAcentral lists this ribosomal RNA (204 nucleotides) under uncultured bacterium. Its description in RNAcentral is "partial 16S ribosomal RNA". It matches the Rfam family "Bacterial small subunit ribosomal RNA", at positions 28 to 226 of the family's 1533-position model. The record is from RNAcentral.
GACGAACGCUGGCGGCGUGCUUAACACAUGCAAGUCGAGCGGUAAGGCCCUUUCGGGGUACGACGAGCGGCGAACGGGUGAGUAACACGUGGGUGACCUCGCCCUCCAGCUCUGGGAGUAAGCCUCGGGAAACGUAGGGUCGUAAUACUGGAUAUGACUCCACGGUGCAUGUCGUGGGGUGGAGAGCCUUGUGCGGCUGAGGAU